RNAcentral lists this ribosomal RNA (462 nucleotides) under uncultured bacterium. RNAcentral's name for it is "partial 16S ribosomal RNA". It matches the Rfam family "Bacterial small subunit ribosomal RNA", at positions 28 to 507 of the family's 1533-position model. The record is from RNAcentral.
GAUGAACGCUGACAGAAUGCUUAACACAUGCAAGUCAUUGGCGAAGCUGCGCUUGCGCAGUCUAGCCAAGGCGGACGGGUGAGUAACGCGUAAGGAACUUGCCCUGCAGACAGGGAUAACAGACGGAAACGACUGAUAACACCUGGUAUUGUCAGGCUGGCGCAUGCCGGCCUGAUGAAAGGAGACGCUGCAGGAGAGCCUUACGUCCUAUUAGCUAGUUGGUGGGGUAACGGCCCACCAAGGCGAUGAUAGGUAGCCGGCCUGAGAGGGUGAACGGCCACAAGGGGACUGAGAUACGGCCCUUACUCCUACGGGAGGCAGCAGUGGGGAAUAUUGGACAAUGGGGGCAACCCUGAUCCAGCAAUUCUGUGUGCACGAAGAAGGUUUUCGGAUUGUAAAGUGCUUUCAGCAGGGAAGAAGAAAGUGACGGUACCUGCAGAAGAAGCGACGGCUAAAUACGUG